CAUUUGUAGAAUCUAUAUCAUAUCCAAGUAAAAUAGGUUUUGCAACUGAAAUAUCCCUUAUCAAAUUGUUAUUGAAUCAAAUCGUAAAUCGAAUCGGGAGCUUGUGAAUCGGAAUCAAAUCAAUUCAGGAAAUCAGUGACAAUACCCAGCCCUAGUAGAGGGUGUUGGGGUGAG
This is a long non-coding RNA of Sander lucioperca (pikeperch), 174 nucleotides long. RefSeq lists it as uncharacterized. The transcript has 3 exons. Lineage: Eukaryota; Metazoa; Chordata; Actinopteri; Perciformes; Percidae. The record is from RefSeq and is a predicted model, not a curated record.